GCAGGGUCUCCUGACCUUCUGAAAGAUACAUGGGUAUGUUUAUGGAGGAAGUAAAGAAAAUAUUUUUUAUGGGAGAUAAGGGUCAUGGUGAUGAUCCAAAUCAUGGAUCCAGGUGAUGUCAAACUUUAGAAGAUCAAUGGAAAAGAGAACCUGACCAAUCCAUUUACUAAAGCCUCAAUAUCUAGGAGUUCUGAGAUAAUAAAUCAAAGAUGAGUAUAUGAUACUAUGCUGAUUGGCUUUAGUCCAAGCGGGAGUUGUUGGGAAUUAUGUUCUAGAGCCAAUCAUUUGAUGAUUGUGCUAAUUAUAAAUAUAUAUG
RNAcentral lists this long non-coding RNA (316 nucleotides) under Elaeis guineensis (African oil palm). RNAcentral's name for it is "long non-coding RNA (EGUI_LNC040463)". Lineage: Eukaryota; Viridiplantae; Streptophyta; Magnoliopsida; Arecales; Arecaceae. The record is from RNAcentral.